Lolium perenne is the source of this 2998-nucleotide long non-coding RNA. RefSeq lists it as uncharacterized. Lineage: Eukaryota; Viridiplantae; Streptophyta; Magnoliopsida; Poales; Poaceae. The record is from RefSeq and is a predicted model, not a curated record.
UCAUAUCCUUUUUGUAUUUUUAUCAUUCUAUUUCUAUCCCCACGCCGACUGCCUUUGGUCAAUUUCCUCGGCAGUCCCACCCCAUAUCCUGCCUUCGGAGACGCCGCUUGGGCUGCUGGUUUCUACGGAUGCAGAGGAGCUACAUACGACCGAGAAUGUACGGAGCCGGCCGGCGGGGUCAGAGGUAGGCGGCGGCAGGUGGUGUUGCGCGGGUGGCGCGGUGGAGGACCUCGGAGGCCUCCUCUUCCAUGCCUUUCCCCACCUCCUUGGCUUACCCUCAUCUCUAUUCAUGUUUCCAUCGGCAUCUUUACCAGGAGAGCUCCACCCGCAGCCAUGUCUAGGUCUUCAGAUUGGAUUUCAUUGAGGAUGAUGCGUGCGUGCCAAUGGCGCUCUGCAGUUUACGGCGGCAAAACGAGCACCACGUCAGACUCCACCGGUCCACCCUUCCCCGCAGUCCCCACUCGCUCACCGUGCCUCCCAGGUCUCCAACACUUCUCUCUCACGCCCUCUAUUUUCAGUUUUUCACAGGCUGGAGCAUGCGAACGGUCAGAGCGGCGGCGCGGCCGCCAGAGCAGACCUUGCGAACGGCCGGAGAGAUGGCGUGGUUACCGGUACAAGACGACCUGCCCGCAGCAUCGGCGCAUGGGGGGCUUGCAAGCAAGUAACACCAGACGCGUAGAGAAGCAGAUGUGCUGCAUCGACCACGGCCACGACCUCGACAGCGGGCCGGCCGACGGCGACGGAGACAACCACGACGCCAGGGCAUAUCUGCUGUGACAACGAGGUAGAUCCGUAUGUGAUAUCACUGAUAUGGAGUAAGACAAAGCAUCGGGCCAGGUCAUCAGUUCUUUAUGGAAGAACAAUAUGAUGCCUUCUUUGUUCAGGUUCCCUUUACACAUUCAGUAUUGAUCUGUGAUGGUGGGCUUUAUGUUAUAGCACAGUGGAAGUAACAUUCAUCGAUCCAACGGUGCUAACUUCUAUGUUGACGAACCGAACAAACCUCAACUCUUCUCUUCUUUUUCUGAUUAAUUUCAUGUUGCUCUGUCGUGCUCCUAUGGUAUUUGAUAACUUUAAGCAACAUCACUUAUUAUAUUUCAUCGACCAUUUCUAUAUAGUUAUUGCAGAAUUAAUGCAAUGUCAUAUUAAUUUUUGCAAAUUUCUAACUUCUGUAGUAUUUGUGCGUGAAGUUUGUUUGCGCCAACUUAUUGUAUGAGGUAUGUACCAUGUCGAGUCAACUACUUUAAUCAACAAGAUUAAUAUCUUGCUUUGCUUUUGAUAUGCUCUUGGCCCUGUUUGAUUUGGUUUAUAUUGCUCCAAUCUUGCAUUCAAAGUACUCUUUGGCUGUGUCUUGCACCCAAGACUGAUACUUUACAUACUUCUAGCAUGUGUGCAAGCUUAUUGACGAAAAUCUGACGUCCAUGUUCGAGUAAAUCUACUAAGUGACAGUGCAUAUCUGCUGCAUAUUCCGCAAGAAAUUCGUAUCAUAACGGGGAAACUAGACUGAGAAAGUGACACAUAAUACAUUUUAGUUGGCGGUUACUCAGAUUAUUCAGCUUGGGAUAAAGGGCCUACCCUCGCAAUCUAAGACCGAUGUCAGUGAUCAAGUAUAUACCCAAUCCAUUUGCGUUUGUGAAGACACAAUAUAACAGCAAAUGAUAAUGCCUUGAAACUUUGCAACGGAAUAUAAGUGACCUGCAUGCUGGUCAUACCAGCUGCCCAAUGCAUCGAAAAUGUUACCACUGAAUGCCACAGAUAUAGCUCAAGUCUCCAAAAAGGGGAGCUGCAUCGGUUCAGUAUUUGAUGUAUCCGUACAAGUUGAUACACUAUCAUACGAAUCACAUUCUGUUUAAGAUUGGGUUGUAAUAAGUUUUUAUGUGUUCUGCACCGGUUGUCAGGAUCAAAUGGUUCUUUUUUUUCUCUGUGUUUCUCUUUAUAGUCGGUAUCAACUUGGUCACUACCAUGUCACUUUCAUCAAUUUAGACGGCAUGAAUGUAUUGUUCUGAAUUUUGCACAGAUGAGCAAUUCUACAUGUUGAAGAAUAAGCUUUGAUGGUCGCCUGUCCUUUUUUUGCCUACAUUUUAUUUAGAAUUUUUGUUAAGUGAAACAAUCUUCUUCUCUGUGGAGGCAAACACUAUCACACAUUUCCCUGCAAGCAUUUGUAUCGCCACGGGCGCGGCGUGUCGCCGCGCAAAACCUUCCUAGUAAGAUAUAAUGAAAGAAUAAUUAAGAUGAUCUAUUUGGUAUGCAUAGUAUUUGGAUGUUAUUUUCCUAUAGGUGAUUACUGUGGUGACUUUUCAUAUUUGUAUGUAGGCUGGUGAAGGUUCCAGGAAGCGUAAGCGCGAGGAGGAGGAGCCUGUGCCUCCUCCAAUCCAGGAGCUAGGACCUGUCCCUCCUCCAAUCCAGGAGGAGGAAGUACCUGUGCCUGCUCCAGCAUUGCCUGCUCCACCAGUGCCUGCUCCACAUGUCCCUGCUCCAUAUGAGGAGUUGCAGGAUUCAGAUGGCUCCCUGGAGUAUGACUCCCAGGAUUCAUCCGAGUCCGUGGACAGCAGGAACAUUGGAUCCUUCAAGACCAAGCUGAUGCAGAAGCUGGAUGCUGGGGCCUUCCCUUUCAAGAAGAGGGGGAAGUACUUCUGUCCAUGGCACAAGGUGAAGCCCAGGGAUGGCAAGCUUAAAAGCCUGAGGCAGCACUGCGAGGAGCUAGCCCAUACUGGCACCUCCAAGCAGAUUAGGGCAGAGCAUCAUGGGCUUCUCUUGGUGCUUGCUAUGGAGGAUGCUUGAAGCCUAGUUCCUGUGGAUGGUGGUUGCUGUCGAUGCUUUUGUAGAUAUGCUUUUGGUUUAUGAUGUUGGAACUACUGCUUCGUGUUGUGUUGAACAGUGUUUGGUUAGCUUUUGAACUGAGUUGUCAGACAAUCUACUUCUGCAUUUUAAUUAUUGUAAGAGGUAAUUAUGCUAUGUACUUCUCCUCAUCAGCUUUUCACUGUCGAAAAAGAAAUUUUUA